RNAcentral lists this long non-coding RNA (316 nucleotides) under Elaeis guineensis (African oil palm). RNAcentral describes it as "long non-coding RNA (EGUI_LNC007225)". Lineage: Eukaryota; Viridiplantae; Streptophyta; Magnoliopsida; Arecales; Arecaceae. The record is from RNAcentral.
CAUGGGUUGGACACGUGGCGGACGAAGGCUCUGCCAAUGCAGAUGCCUCAUUUUAAAAUAUAUACACAUAUAUUAGAUAACAAAAAUAAAAAUAUAAGAAAAAGGCUUGGGCUAUGACUAACCUCUUAGCCAAAUAUCCUAUAAAUGAUAAUGUGUGCCAAUAGCCACUUGUCAUUUCUUGGCAAGGUUUUCUUAGAAAGGCUACGCUAACCAGUUUGUCAAAUCUUUAGAUAUGAUGCACAAGUUGAAGGUUAGGCCCAAGUUAUUUGUAACCUAGGACAAAACAAAUUAGAUAACACGCCGUAGAAACCUGCAC